GAGUUUGAUCAUGGCUCAGAUUGAACGCUGGCGGCAGGCCUAACACAUGCAAGUCGAACGGUAACAGGAAACAGCUUGCUGUUUCGCUGACGAGUGGCGGACGGGUGAGUAAUGUCUGGGAAACUGCCUGAUGGAGGGGGAUAACUACUGGAAACGGUAGCUAAUACCGCAUAACGUCGCAAGACCAAAGAGGGGGACCUUCGGGCCUCUUGCCAUCGGAUGUGCCCAGAUGGGAUUAGCUUGUUGGUGGGGUAACGGCUCACCAAGGCGACGAUCCCUAGCUGGUCUGAGAGGAUGACCAGCCACACUGGAACUGAGACACGGUCCAGACUCCUACGGGAGGCAGCAGUGGGGAAUAUUGCACAAUGGGCGCAAGCCUGAUGCAGCCAUGCCGCGUGUAUGAAGAAGGCCUUCGGGUUGUAAAGUACUUUCAGCGGGGAGGAAGGGAGUAAAGUUAAUACCUUUGCUCAUUGACGUUACCCGCAGAAGAAGCACCGGCUAACUCCGUGCCAGCAGCCGCGGUAAUACGGAGGGUGCAAGCGUUAAUCGGAAUUACUGGGCGUAAAGCGCACGCAGGCGGUUUGUUAAGUCAGAUGUGAAAUCCCCGGGCUCAACCUGGGAACUGCAUCUGAUACUGGCAAGCUUGAGUCUCGUAGAGGGGGGUAGAAUUCCAGGUGUAGCGGUGAAAUGCGUAGAGAUCUGGAGGAAUACCGGUGGCGAAGGCGGCCCCCUGGACGAAGACUGACGCUCAGGUGCGAAAGCGUGGGGAGCAAACAGGAUUAGAUACCCUGGUAGUCCACGCCGUAAACGAUGUCGACUUGGAGGUUGUGCCCUUGAGGCGUGGCUUCCGGAGCUAACGCGUUAAGUCGACCGCCUGGGGAGUACGGCCGCAAGGUUAAAACUCAAAUGAAUUGACGGGGGCCCGCACAAGCGGUGGAGCAUGUGGUUUAAUUCGAUGCAACGCGAAGAACCUUACCUGGUCUUGACAUCCACGGAAGUUUUCAGAGAUGAGAAUGUGCCUUCGGGAACCGUGAGACAGGUGCUGCAUGGCUGUCGUCAGCUCGUGUUGUGAAAUGUUGGGUUAAGUCCCGCAACGAGCGCAACCCUUAUCCUUUGUUGCCAGCGGUCCGGCCGGGAACUCAAAGGAGACUGCCAGUGAUAAACUGGAGGAAGGUGGGGAUGACGUCAAGUCAUCAUGGCCCUUACGACCAGGGCUACACACGUGCUACAAUGGCGCAUACAAAGAGAAGCGACCUCGCGAGAGCAAGCGGACCUCAUAAAGUGCGUCGUAGUCCGGAUUGGAGUCUGCAACUCGACUCCAUGAAGUCGGAAUCGCUAGUAAUCGUGGAUCAGAAUGCCACGGUGAAUACGUUCCCGGGCCUUGUACACACCGCCCGUCACACCAUGGGAGUGGGUUGCAAAAGAAGUAGGUAGCUUAACCUUCGGGAGGGCGCUUACCACUUUGUGAUUCAUGACUGGGGUGAAGUCGUAACAAGGUAACCGUAGGGGAACCUGCGGUUGGAUC
RNAcentral lists this ribosomal RNA (1525 nucleotides) under Escherichia coli 6-319-05_S4_C3. Its description in RNAcentral is "bacterial SSU rRNA". It matches the Rfam family "Bacterial small subunit ribosomal RNA". Lineage: Bacteria; Pseudomonadati; Pseudomonadota; Gammaproteobacteria; Enterobacterales; Enterobacteriaceae. The record is from RNAcentral.